CGCACAUUGCGCCCGCCAGCAUUCUGGCGGGCAUGCCUGUUCGAGCGUCAUUUCAACCCUCGACGUCCCCUGGGGACGUCGGCCUUGGGGACCGGCAGCACACCGCCGGCCCUGAAAUCGAGUGGCGGCCCGUCCGCGGCGACCUCUGCGCAGUACUCCAGCUCGCACCGGGAACCCGACGCGGCCACGCCGUAAAACACCCAACUCUGAACGUUGACCUCGGAUCAGGUAGGACUACCCGCUGAACUUAA
RNAcentral lists this unclassified non-coding RNA (251 nucleotides) under Cordyceps farinosa. Its description in RNAcentral is "partial contains 5.8S ribosomal RNA, internal transcribed spacer 2, and large subunit ribosomal RNA". Lineage: Eukaryota; Fungi; Ascomycota; Sordariomycetes; Hypocreales; Cordycipitaceae. The record is from RNAcentral.